AUGUUGGCGGAAAAUCUAUGCAUCAGUUUGCAGAUAAUAUUAAGGGAAAAGUUUCGCACCGGCGGACCGGCUGAAAAUUGCGCCCGUCCCACACGGUCGUCACGUAUCUCAAGUGGCCCCACCCACCGCCCUCCUCCUUCAGCAUACCUUAUCGCUUCAGACGACCAGAGACCAGAUCCACUCAUCCACAGAUCUCGCAUCGCUGCCAUCGCCUCCGCUCCGCAUCUCGCUUCCACCUCAUCCCGCGCGUCGCCGCCGAGACCCUCUGCAACCGGCGACGCGGUGCCGGCCGGGCAUGGCCACCCCCUCCCCCGGUUAUAUCUUCUCGGCUGCCCCGCCACCAUUUUUCCCCUUUUGAUGAAGAGAAAUGCCACCCUCUUUUUCCCUGUGCUGGAACCGGCGGGGGAAUUGCUUCAACCGACGGGCGGAUUUGCUUCAACCGGCAAGGAUGGUGGUGGGCGGCGACGGCGAUGGCAGAGGGAAAAGAUAGUGCUGGGCGGCGACGGCGACGAGCGGCGAUGGUUGAAGCAACAUGAAGGCGAAUCUGGUGUUGCAACCACCACAGCAACGACCGACGAGCGACCGGGAUGGCGAGAGUAG
This 600-nucleotide ribosomal RNA is filed under the name Triticum aestivum (bread wheat). RNAcentral's name for it is "partial small subunit ribosomal RNA". The record is from RNAcentral. Lineage: Eukaryota; Viridiplantae; Streptophyta; Magnoliopsida; Poales; Poaceae.